CUUUGAUCUAUUUAGAAUUUGUCCACAUGUAUUGAUUCAGCUUCGUCUUUUCCAGAUAGCUACCCAGUUGCCCCAACUCUAUGUAUUCACUAUUUGACUCUCCCAUUUAAGUACAUAUAUUACCAUGAUAAAAAAAAAGUAAAUUAAAAAAAAGAUGGAGGGGCAGAGAAGCCCUCCAGAUGGCCUCAAGUGAAGAGAGAAAGGAGGAAGGGGGAAGGUCAUGUCCUUCUUCCCAGCAUCUGAGUCCUCGCGCUGUCAGUCAGAUGGUCAUCUCUGUAGAGAUGUCUCACCUGGUGGCUGUUUUGUCAGGAGGGAUAUUUGGCUGUAAUGAGGGGCUCACUGGUGGGAUCUGGCCAAGCUCAGACCCUGGAAUGGUGAGUUGGAUCCCAGACCCUGGGAGGGAUGACAGCAGGAGCCACUCCUGGAAAUUCCCUGUCGCAGGAUGACUCAGCUCUAACUGCCUUCCUGCAUGACGGCACUUAGGGUUCCAGUCCCUGGGAGAGAGAACUUGAUUGGCCCCACUUGGCCGCUCAUCCAUCCCCUGUCAGCAGGAGUCCAAUCCUAGGAUUAGCUGGACACCAGAACCAAGUGGGCGGGGGUGGGGAGGAGCAGUUUCUCCAGUGGAAGAGAUGCCAAGCAACAAAACCAAACAAAGUCCCUGCAGCGGCUGUCCACAACAUUUGUAUAAGUAGUAACAAUAAAAAUAGCAGUUAUUCGCGGACUGCUUCUAUAGGCCAGGAACCAUGUUAAGUGUUUAAUCUCAUUUACAUCUCUCUCCCCAGCUGUGUGAGGUUGACAGGCGAGGAAACUGAGGCUGAAGAGAGGCUAAGAGACUUCUCUGACAGCUAGUAAAUGGCAUAACUAGGAUACACGCCUGGUUGUGUCUACCCCCACUCAGACUCUGCCUUUUGACCGCUCAGGGGUAUUGCCCUAUAAGUAGGAAUGAAUGUUUUCCUCGGCGUAACUCAGCUUCUGUGCCCUGCAUCCCUGUCUAUUGUCCUCCAUGGGCUUUGAACAUGGCGGUAGAUGAUUGUUCUGAUACCCAGGGGGCUCCUUCAGGUCUUAUUCAUUCUGGUGCUUGUUGCCUGCUCUCAUGGUAAGCACCUGGUGUCUACAGCACCCCUAAGGGCAAAGCUUUCUCAUUCAUUCUCUCCUCACAGCCAUCUUCGGGCAAGGUCCUUUGGCCUGGGCCAGACAACCCUACCAGGGAACCAUCUCCUGCUCUAUCUGCAGCCCUCCCUCAGACCCUGAGCCAAUGCCUGGACCCUCUUGUGCACCUCAACUCUCUCUUCCCUUGGGAUGGGGUCCCUCUCCAUCGGGGGUGCUGCAUGGGAGACUGAGGGGCAGCCAAUGGCCCACUGGUGUUAAUAGCCCCACCCUCUAGAUAAUGAACUACCCCUUCAAUAGGGCCCACUCAUCUGUGUGCAAACAUUUCCUACCCUUCCACCUGCCCUGGGGUCCCUGCCGCCUGCCUGGAUGGCUGAAUUGGAACUGAGUGCCCCAUCAAAUCCUCUGGCACCCGCCCUACACUACAUCUUUCCUAGCUCCUCCAGCCCCAGGCAGCCCAUCAGCAAGGGUCUUCUGAGAGAUUUGAUGAGACCAGCAGCAUGCUGAGCUGAACCCUCUUUGGACACACCCAAGCCUGGAAUGUCUUCUCCUUCCAGCUCCCUCCCUUUGUGAUUCAGAAACUACAAAAUUCUGCUGUUCCCUAGGCUGGGCAGCUCCUGUCGGGUGGGGUCUGGAGCUUGCCUCCAGUUGUAGAAAUACAGUGAUUGAGUUUGAACACUAAAAUUACACAUUCAGCAUUGCAAAAGUGCUGCUCCUCCAAAUGAGAUCUUUUCAGGACUGAGUGACUCACUGGUCCUCCCCUUUGGAGGUGCUGUGUUGUACGCACAGGCUGCGUGCAGUGUGUCUCAGAGUGGCACAGAAGCUCCCUCUGAGCAUUCAUGAUGGUCACUUGCAGCUGGAGAUGACCACAGGGAUGCUUUCUCCUGAGUGAUCUAGGGGUGGGAAUGCUGGCAGGUCUCGGGGGCUGCAGAGAAACUUCUCUCCCCAUCUGUACCCAUGAGGGAGCAUGAUAACAAUGACCAGGGUUCACAGGGGACUGGGCUUAGUCAUAAGCUGGUCCUAGGCUGGGCUCUGAGGCCGUGCAUAUCAUGGCUCCAUUACCUCUCCAAACCAUCGCCUGCCCCAUUCCACCUUCUCAGCGAGGGCAAGACUGAGGACCCUAUUUAAAACAUAGCCUGACUCCAGGAUUCCAGAGUCCUCUUCCCUGAUCCUUUUCCCCCCAGAGCUCUUAAACAUGUAGCACACUAUAGAAUGUACUUAUUGUGAUUAUUGUUUAUUUUCUCUGUCUCUCUGCUAGAAUUUAACUCCACAAGGGCAGGCAAGGACAUGGGCCUGUUUUGUCCAGGAUGUAUCCCGAGUAUCUAGAACGGUGUGGGCACGUAGUAGGGACUCAACAAAUAUUUGUUAAAUGAAUGAAUGAUCCACCCCUAAAUGUCUGUGGUAGUUUUAAAAUACCUUCACUAAUUCUGUGACACUGCUCUCUUCCAAAGCGGAGCUCAUACCCUCCUCAGCAGCGAGACCGACUCCCUUCUCUAAUGUGACUUCUGAGGCUGAGUCAUAAAAAGGACCGCUUUCACCUGGCUCUCUCACAGAUCACUCACACUGGGGGAAGUCAGCCACCUUGUAGUGAGGACAUUCAAGUAGCCUGAGAGGCCCAUGUGGGGAGAAAGUGAGGUCUCCAACGACAGCACUAACCUGCCAGCCAUGAUCCCAUAAGUGGACCAAGAGAAGAGGAAACUAUUCCAGCAUGCUAUCGCUGGCUCCUCCCAGCUCUGCUUAGAACUCAUCAUGGGCUGCUCUACGCUUGGCUGUCUGGUUCUUAUGAACAGCUAUGUCAGUAUCCCUACGUUGGAGAAAUGAUCAAGGAGAGUCUCCCUGGACACCACAUCCAUACAUUGAUGAUAAUAAAAGUAUUUAGAUUAAUGAUAGUAACCAUUUUGAGUGUCUGCUCUGGGCCAAGGCACUGUGCUAGGCACUUGCAUUUAUUAUUUCCUUUAAUCCUCUCAAUUACACCACUGGGGUAAGCAUUGUUAUGCUCAUUAUACAGAUAAGAAAACCAAAGUUUUAUUAAUUUAUUGAGCUCAAGUAAGUUGCUCAAGAUUACAGGGAGAGUAAGCAGUUGAGGCACAGAUUUGCAGCAUCAAUGUUUUUCCAAAAUCCAUAUCUUUUUCAGACGAUUUCAUUGCCUUAGGCCACGAUAGGCAGGGAAGAUACCCUGGACAGCUGGGGGUCUUCAUACAUGGAGACAGAAUUGAGAACAACUACUGUAAAUAUAAUAUUGUAAAGUUAAGUUAAUUAAUAUAUCUUUGCUUCCAUAACACAUUAUCUUUCAACACAACAGAGUGGAAUCACCUAGGGGAGAACUGACAUUUGUUGAGAAGAGGAAAUGCGUUAAGCACAUUGCAUACUGUAUCAGUCAAAAUGAAGUCAGAAAAACAGAAAUUAUGCUAGGUAUUUCAACCAGAGGGUAUUUAAUAUAAUGAGUGGAUUUCACAGGAGUUGGAACAUCCAAAAGGAGACAGUGAGUAAAUACAGAAAGCAACCUGAAGGCUGCAGGGGACAAAAGGAAAGACGUGGAACCAGAACCUAGGAAGGCAGAGGAAGGGCCACCACCUUAGGAGCUGGGCUGCUGCAGGGCCAUCGUGUACCUGGUACUGGACUGCCAAGGGGGCACUGUGUGGCUGGUGAGGGAACCUCUGAGAAAGUGGCUUGACACUGGUGGCAGCAGUGUCAAAAGAUGCCAGAGUUGUAACUGUCCAAAAGAAUGUGGAAGGAGGAAGAGAGUCCCUCUCUACUCCUGCCUCCCAGUCCCCCAGUUGUGCCUCCUGAUUGCAGACCCUGACUGGAAAUCAGCUAGCAAGGGAAUCUGGGAAAUAUAAUUGUCAGACUCCAAGCCCACAGCAUUACAAAUAAAAGUAUAGAAGUGUGUGCAUGGAACAGAGAGAUAAUAGAAAAUGACAAGCCCAUAUCAGUCAAUUCAUUGAGUCCUCUACCAAACUGUGACUAAAUAGAAGAACCAAAGUUCAAACAGGGAUCUAAUACCAGAAUUCGUGCUCUUGCAGUAUGUUUUAAACCCUUUAACUCAGUUUACAUUUAUACUUUGUCCUUGACUUUUUUUCUCUCAGCAUUUAUUUAGCACAAGCUAUGUGCCAGGUCCUGCGCUAAAUGCUUCAGCUAUGCUUAUCCUAUUUAAUUUUUGAAACAGUGCAGGUAAUGGUGAUGCAAAGUUGCCUGGUAAACAAUUGAAUGAGAAAACUAAAUAAGAAUACAAC
RNAcentral lists this long non-coding RNA (4340 nucleotides) under Equus caballus (horse). RNAcentral's name for it is "lncRNA (ENSECAG00000052716.1)". Lineage: Eukaryota; Metazoa; Chordata; Mammalia; Perissodactyla; Equidae. The record is from RNAcentral.